AGCCCUUUUUCUUAGAGGUAGGUGGGACUUGCUGUCUUCUCUUUGCCAAAGGUCUGAUACCCCCUGAUUUUUGAAUCCUCUGGGGACUUUUAUCUCUGCUCUAUCUUUGGAGCUGCUCUUUUUUGGCUUCCCACUGACACGAAAUCGGCUGUUCCUGUGUUUUACAAUCCCUGGGAUGUGCCGUGGGAUCUGUAAUUAACACCUGGCCCGGGCUCUUUGUUUUCCUGGAUGAGCAUUUCAGGGAGGAUUUGGCCUCCCCAGGGGGUUGUGGUGGCUCCUGUUGGCACCUCCAGCAGAGCAGCAGCUGAGCUGAGAGUACUAAACUUUCCUGAAGAUUUUUCCAAUAAAACCACAGCUCAGAAGUGUUUUUUUGGGGGGUGUUUUAGUUUGUACAGGAUGCUCUGAGAUACCUGGUUAUAUUUUGCUGGCUUUUGCCAGACACCCAAGUGGAAUAUUUUGGUUUUUUGCUUUACUUUUCCGCUUUUCCUCCGCUUCCCUUUACCAGGCUUUUAGUUCUGACUUAACAUCCCAAUGACUUUUAUCCAUGCUAAUGAUUUACUGGUAAAAAAUGUUUUUUAAACAGUAAUAAUUCUUCACCAUUUUGCUAAAGCCUGAGGUUUAGUUAAGUUUUGAUAAGGGAUAAAACUUAGAGAAUGGUUUGGGUUGGAAGGACCUCAAAGCUCAUCCCAUGGGCAGGGACACUUUCCACUCUCCAAGGUUGCUCCAAGCCCUGUCCAACCUGGCCUUGGACACUUCCAGGACCCAAACCAGGAACCAAGGGCAGGUUCCAGAAGGAAAACCAUCUCCCAAAGCCAACAGAUUGGAUAACUUUUACCCUGAGGAACAGGGGAAUUAAUUAACAAGCCAGGAUUAAUGAGGGAAGUUGAUGAGAGUGGGGCUGUUUGCAGGAUAAUUUAUAACAGGCUGUGUAAAUAAACUCUUGAAGGCAGGAAUCAGCCCUUGCUCUGUUUGAGAAGUGGAGCUGCCUCUCAGUUCCUCCCCAGAUAUUUCUAUAAUUCCCAGUAUAACAUAGAAUUAGUUGUGUUAGGAACAGUUUUGAAGUUAUGGAAUCAUACCUGUGUGUGUGGAAUGGCACCUGGGUAUUAGUGGGGAAUAAAUGCAGAGAACUGUUGCAGAGAGGAUCACCAAACAUAGGAAUUCAUUCAUGGUUUUUUCCCCUUUUGUGUCUCUUGUUCCCUGCUGGGUUCUGCCCUUCUGACUCAAAUCACCUUGAUUUCUCCUCCUGCAAAGAUGCUGAACUACUUUAAAUUUUCUAUGAAAAGGCAGGAUUUAUGAAAACCCAUAUAAUUAUAGCUGGAUAACUUAACAUGGAUUUUUUUUCUUCUGUGGAGUUCUUUCUUUGCUGAUUAAACAGACUUUCUACCCUUUCUGGUGUCAGGGAUGGAAGGUUGGGGGUGAAACUCUGUCUUUUCACAGGCAGGGCUUGACAGCUGCUCUCAGCCUCCCUCUUUUUAACCCUGUCUUUAAAUAAAAUUUAAUAAAAGCUUUCCAAGGGUUCUGGUUACACUUGAGGUGAGUUUAUCACUCCAACCUUCCAUCAGCUCUUAUCCUGCUUCCCUACAGCCUCCAGUGAGGUUGAGAUCCCUUUGCCAUGGGGAGUUUGAGGUGAUGGAUGACAAUUGCAGGCAUAAACAAGUCACUAUUUAUUACACUAUUUAUUAUUAUUGUUGUUAUUAAUAUGAUGGUGGUGUUGUUUGGGGUUAGAUUAAAAAGCAAAAGGGUGUUUUCCUCUCUGAAAUUGGGUUUAGUGCCCCCUGGGCUUUGCAAAGCCAAUAAAUAAGUUGUUUUCCUCAGCCAAGCCUGUGACCUGGAUGACUUGAGCAAUCCUGAUGUGUUGGCAGAUUUUCCUGGAGCACAAAAGGAGCAGCAGGGGCUGGGAUAACACUGAUCUCAGUGUGUUCAAGCACUGCAAUAUCAACAGGGUCCAAAAUAUGAAUCCUGUGACACCCGAGAGUGGUGUCUUGUAGAGGUCCCCACACAAAAAAAAAGGUGAAAAGUGGGAGAUUUCCAGAGACACAAAUGGGAGCUGAACUUUUGACAGCUGGACUUGAUCCUCUCAGAGAUCUUUUCCAAUAAUCCUGGAUAUUUUGGAUAAUUUCCAAUUAUCCAAAAGCUGUUACCUUUUGGUGGGAGGUAGGUGUUUAAUUCCACAUAAAUAGGUUUUUCAUCAGGAAAACAAGGAAUAAAUUCCCUUCAAAAUACAAGCCAUACUCAAAUCCUGAAUGCUGUUCCCUUAUCCAUGUUUUCAGGUAAUAAAGGUGUGGUAAUUAAACAGCACAACCCAAUUUUCAUGUCACCAUCCCCUGGAAGCUCUGUGAGGACUUACAACCUCGAGAUGGGACAAAACAAAGGCUUGGUCCCUUCCUCUGGAAAACUGGCUGGAAUCCCCUGGGUCGCUGCUUGGACACAUCUGAGUCCAUCAGUUGGGAAUGAGCAGCUUUCCUGUGUGGGGGGCAGGCCCAACUUCCACUGAACUCCAGAAUUCAUCAACUAUCACAAAAUUAUUCCUGGGGUGGGCCCAGGAAGGGGGCUCUGAAGCCUCUUUGGAAUGGGGACCACAGGGAAAAUUAGAAGAUCCAGAAUGAAGGGACCUCAAAGCCCAUCCAGUUCCACCCCCUGCCGUGGGCAGGAACCCCUUCCACUAUCCCAGAGUGCUCCAACCUGGCCUGGGACACUUCCAAGGAAAAUCAUGUUCUGCUGAAGCUUGUUUGAGGCUGGGAAUGUUUUGUAUCUGUCACACCUGCACAGUCCUUUUCUCACGUUGGUGUUACUUUUUGGGAUCUGUAUAAACCAUAUUUCUGUAACUAUUAGUACUUAGUUAAAGGAAAGCAGAGUGUCCAUAUGGGAAUGCUGUUCUGACCCAUGGCUAAUCCCUUUUUACCUCAGAAAACAGCACUUAAAACUGCUGAGGCUCUUUUAUACCUUCACAUGGGUCAGUUUUAAAUCCAUAUCACAACAUAAAUCAAGAGAUACUGACUUAAGAACUUAUUUAUAUAAAGCUAGAUGGGAAAAAUCUGUUUAUUUAUGCUACCAGAUGUGAUCAACAGAAGCACAAGGCAAUGGGGCUGCCAUAAAAUGAAGUUCUGGAGGAAAAUAUUAAUCAAAACCCCAAAAGGGUUUCCAGCCCUUCUCUUGUCUCUGCUCAGCAAGUGUCAAAGGGAAAGUUUGUCCUCAUUUUGCAGCCUGAGAAAAGGCACCUCUGCUGAGUUCCUGCUGAGCUGGAAAAGGUUAUGUUCAAACUGCUCCACUGCAGAAAAGCCACGUUUAAUUGGGAUUCUCCUCUCCUGGGAGCUCUCCCUCGGUGAGGGAAGGGAAAUCUCUGCCUUUGCUGCAGCAUCAGAGAUGGGGGGGGACACCCAGUGCUGGCACCAAGGAGGGCAGAGGAGCUGAGUCAGGGCUGCUCCAGAGGGUGGGAAGUCUCCAAGGAGCUUCCUGGGGAAGGCCUGGCUGGAGGAUGGUCUGGGAGAUGCUGAAGGAAGGAGGGAUGUGCUUUAAGUAAGGCAGUUUCUUCCCUCCAGCUCGUAGGACAAGAUGUAACACCCAUCUAAGUGGUCUGGGAACAGCAGAGCUGCCUUAAUGGGGGUUUUCUGAGCUGACCUUUUGUUUGCUGGUGAUUUGGCUGAUUCUUUCCUUUUUUUUCCCCCCAAAAAAGCUAUACAGCUCAUUGCAGCAGUCUGAAAGUUAUUUUCUUUCUAAGCAUUUGCAGGGUGAAGGGCUCUGUGUGCUGCUCACAAGGCAUUUUCCUGAUGGAUGUCCCACAUCAUCUUACACAUCUUCCCAGAAAAUCUGGGAAUGGCUGCCCCAUUCCUGGGAGUGUCCAAGGCCAGACUGGACAGGGCUUGGAGCAACCUGGGAUGGUGGGAGGUGUCCCUGCCCAUGGCAGGGAGUGGCACUGGAUGGGCUUUAAGGUCCUUUCAACCCAAACCAUUCUGUAAUUCUGUGAUUUUUAUCACUUAUCAAAAUUUAACAAAAACCUCAGGCCUUAACGAAAUGGUGACCAAUGAUAAUGUUUAAAACCCACUUUUUCCUAGUGAAUCAUUAGUAUGGAUAAAAGUCUAGGACCCUGAAGUCAGAACUAAAAGCCUGCUCAAAGGAAGUGGAGGAAAGGCUGCAAAGUAAACCCAAACCUUUCAGUGAUUCCGUGAUCUUGGCGUGUUUUUUUGGGCAAACAGGAGCUGCCCCCAACUUCUCCCCGUCACAGAAAAGUCACAACAACAUUAAAAUGCUGCUGUUGUCGUGGGCAGAGUGUUCUGGAAAGCUGGGGAAGGAAGGAGCAGCUGUAAUGAAGUGAUAUAUUGUUGGUCUUGGGGCUACAGUGGUUAAGGAGAAGUUAUAGCUCUGCCUAACAAGGAAAAAAGCAAUUUCUUAGACUUGAACUUUGCAAUAAUGAAAUGUGAAACCGUGUGUUGGAAUCACUUCUGUAGCUAAGGGCCAUCUGCUGCUGAUGGAUCAGAAUGUCCUCAGCUCCAAAGACAUUCACUGAAAGGCCCAGAAUAGUUUUUUUUGGAGUUUUAGAGCAUCUCGGGGUUACUCAUAACCAAUACCUCAAGCCAUAAACCCACUUUGAUUUGCAGGAAAAAUAGAAAGACUCCAACUCAGAAAGUAGAAAAGAAAAAAAAAGAGAAAAGAUGAAGUUGAAUUCAAGUCUGUAUUUGAGGCAGCAACACCAGGGAACGUACAGAGCUGUGCGUGGCUCUGAGAACAUCACGGAUGCAGCAUAAAAAACAGGAUUUUGCAGAGCUGCUUCUGCAGAACAUGGAUUAAAAAUAAGAGUAUCACCGUUUCCUUUUUACACCAGGCUCACCAGUAUUUAAGUGUGGCCCUUGUGUACUCCCCCUAAUGUGGCUGUAAGGAGGAUCUAGCAGAGUAAUUAGAGAUAAGCCACUUUUCAAUUAUCUGCUACCUGCUGCUACCCACUGGUGGACAUCAAUUCCUGGCAGAUAAUUUUAUCCUUGUGUUACUUGAGAACCUUUGGACAUCAUGUGCUUGACCUAAAUUUUUAAUGGCAUUAGGUAGGCCUAGUUAAAUAUAAAAAUAAGGAUUUUGGAGCACAGCUCUCUGUUAAAGUUCCUUGGGCUGUGUUUUUCUUGUGUUCGGCUCAGCAUGGGAAUGUUUUUUUGUUGUGCUUUGGCUACAGAAACUGGCUUUUAAACUUGAGCAUGAAUUGACUGACACAACCCAUUAGAAGCUGGGUUGGAGAAUGGGAGAGAGCACAGAAAACUCAUCAAAGGGAGUUAUGACCAUGGUUUUGACAAAGGAUAACAGUGAAAAACAAAGAAUAACAAUCCAUGGGACUGAACACAGAACAAACCUCACUCAUGAUGCAUCAUUUUUUGAACCCCUAAUAGCCCUGAAAUGUAAGGAUGUACAGUGUUUCCAGUGAAAAAACCCCAGAUAUAUUUCAAUUUUUCUAUUAGAAAUCAUUAUGAGGUGUUUCUUAAACUCAAAUCUAAACUCAUCCUCAUCCAAAUCAUGGAAUUUAAUACAGAAUGAGGUUUCUGCACUUAAACACUCUCAGGUUUUCUACUUUAUAAAGUUCCAGUUAAGAAAUAAAAUGUU
Pseudopipra pipra is the source of this 5580-nucleotide long non-coding RNA. RefSeq lists it as uncharacterized. The record is from RefSeq and is a predicted model, not a curated record. Lineage: Eukaryota; Metazoa; Chordata; Aves; Passeriformes; Pipridae. The transcript has 3 exons.